GUUGACCUCGGAUCAGGUAGGGAUACCCGCUGAACUUAAGCAUAUCAAUAAGCGGAGGAAAAGAAACCAACAGGGAUUGCCCUAGUAACGGCGAGUGAAGCGGCAACAGCUCAAAUUUGAAAUCUGGCGCAAGCCCGAGUUGUAAUUUGUAGAGGAUGCUUCUGGGCAGCGGCCGGUCUAAGUUCCUUGGAACAGGACGUCAUAGAGGGUGAGAAUCCCGUAUGCGACCGGUUGGCACCCGUCACGUAGCUCCUUCGACGAGUCGAGUUGUUUGGGAAUGCAGCUCUAAAUGGGUGGUAAAUGUCAUCUAAAGCUAAAUACCGGCCAGAGACCGAUAGCGCACAAGUAGAGUGAUCGAAAGAUGAAAAGCACUUUGGAAAGAGAGUUAAAAAGCACGUGAAAUUGUUGAAAGGGAAGGGCAGGCAACCAGACUUGUCGGCGGUGUUCCGCCGGUCUUUUGACCGGUCUACUCGCCGCCGGCAGGCCAGCAUCAUCUGGGUGCGCCGGAUAAAGGCGCGGGGAAUGUAGCUCCUCGGAGUGUUAUAGCCCCGCGCACAAUACGGCGCCGCCCGGGUGAGGUCCGCGCUUCGGCUAGGAUGCUGGCGUAAUGGUCGUCUGCCGCCCGUCUUGAAACACGGACCAAGGAGUCUAACAUCUAUGCGAGUGUUCGGGUGUCAAACCCCUACGCGUAAUGAAAGUGAACGGAGGUGGGAGCUUCGGCGCACCAUCGACCGAUCCUGAUGUCCUCGGAUGGAUUUGAGUAAGAGCAUAGCUGUUGGGACCCGAAAGAUGGUGAACUAUGCCUGAAUAGGGUGAAGCCAGAGGAAACUCUGGUGGAGGCUCGCAGCGGUUCUGACGUGCAAAUCGAUCGUCAAAUUUGGGUAUAGGGGCGAAAGACUAAUCGAACCAUCUAGUAGCUGGUUCCU
This 926-nucleotide ribosomal RNA is filed under the name Penidiella aggregata. RNAcentral's name for it is "eukaryotic LSU rRNA". It matches the Rfam family "Eukaryotic large subunit ribosomal RNA", at positions 1 to 959 of the family's 3401-position model. The record is from RNAcentral. Lineage: Eukaryota; Fungi; Ascomycota; Dothideomycetes; Mycosphaerellales; Teratosphaeriaceae.